This is a long non-coding RNA of Corylus avellana, 649 nucleotides long. RefSeq lists it as uncharacterized. The record is from RefSeq and is a predicted model, not a curated record. NCBI's taxonomy places the organism in Eukaryota, Viridiplantae, Streptophyta, Magnoliopsida, Fagales, Betulaceae.
CUCACUCCCUCCGUCCCUUCUCUCCCUCCUUCCCUCCCUCUCCAGAAAAUCGUUUGCGGAUUGAAGCACAGUGGCUUGGCCACUGUCGGUGUGCGGAGGAAAGCGAUUGGGGUGGGAGACCUUGGCCCAACUCUGGCCCUUGUACGUGUUUCUUGGUGUCCAAACAGGAAUCAGUUGGGAAUUUAUACUACCCCGAUGACACUUGAAUGGGCAACAACAAAGCUAUACUUCAGAAUCCUGGAAUCAUGUCAGACGAUCAACAAGAGAUCAAGAUAAAAAAAUUUGAUACUGAUAGAGGCUUCAAUACUCACCGGCGAUUGUGGAGACCUUUUCCUUGUAUAACUUAAGCAAAUAUGAAGAUUUGCAGUUAUGUGGUCCUAAAACACAUGAAAACCAUAAGUCCUUUGUAACCUAAAGGAUUUUAGGCUUGGAGCUUGGUAUAACUCUUUUGUUCCCUAAAGGAUUUUAAGCUUGGAGCUUGGUGUUGGGGGAGUUUUUGAGUUUCAUUUUGCCCAAUCUGGUUGGCGUAAUUUAUGUCGGUGUUGGGUGUUGUACCAUGUCCAUGUACAAGAAUCAAUUGAUGUUAUUUUCAUGUAUAAUAAUUGAAUUAUUCUGAAAUAAUACUUCUAAGUGCUCUAUUUCUUUUCUA